This 422-nucleotide ribosomal RNA is filed under the name uncultured bacterium. Its description in RNAcentral is "bacterial SSU rRNA". It matches the Rfam family "Bacterial small subunit ribosomal RNA", at positions 355 to 775 of the family's 1533-position model. The record is from RNAcentral.
UAGGGAAUAUUGGACAAUGGGGGAAACCCUGAUCCAGCCAUGCCGCGUGCAGGACGAAGGCCCUCUGGGUUGUAAACUGCUUUUCUCUGGGGAUAAACCUAUACUAUAUGUAUAGCUGAAGGUACCAGGGGAAUAAGCACCGGCUAACUCCGUGCCAGCAGCCGCGGUAAUACGGAGGGUGCAAGCGUUGUCCGGAUUCAUUGGGUUUAAAGGGUGCGUAGGCGGUCUUGUAAGUCAGUGGUGAAAUCUCAGAGCUCAACUCUGAAUGUGCCAAUGAUACUGCAGGACUUGAGAGCAGUCGAGGUAGCUGGAAUGUGUAGUGUAGCGGUGAAAUGCAUAGAGAUUACACAGAACACCAAUUGCGAAGGCAAGUUACUAGACUGUUUCAGACGCUGAUGCACGAAAGUGUGGGUAGCGAACAG